GUAGCUAUAAAUUAAAAUUAAAAAUAUCAUAGCUUUCCAUCUUGCUUGUAGCUCUCAUGGCUAACAAUCCCAUGGAUUUGUGAUUUUUAUUUUUUUUGAAAUUUGGAAAAUUUAAAAGUAAAAAAUGCAUGACCAAUUAGAUCGUGGGAUAUUCUCCCGGCCAGGAUGAACCGAAAAAGGUCCGCUUUAGAUCACCUGCUGCUGUGUAAAUAGGGAAGGAACGCCGAUGAUUGAGGAUGACGUACGUGUAUGCCAAAACAUGGACGGUGGACUCCGCUCAAUCAAGAGCCGUUGUCCAAUACACAUACGGUGGGUGAUCAACGGGACUUCUACCCGCUCGAUUGGAUUGGAACUGUGCAACCCACGAGGAGAAGUGGGCUGGAGGGGUGAUCUUCGGAUCGAAUCUUCCCCGUUUGGACGGAGUCUCAGCCAGAUAGGGAGCCUCGACGUUGCCCGCCAUGGUCAGCGAGGAGGUCGGCACCAAGCUCGUCCGCUUCCUCUACUUCGUCGGCGCCGGAGUCAUCUGCACGAAGGGGAUCAACCUCUGGCGAGACUAUGAGAGGAAGGCCGCCAUGAAGACGGCCGAAACCCCUCAGGCUCCGGCAGAGAUGGUAAACGGAGCUGCCGCCACCCCGAAAUCUUGAAUCUUGAUUAGGGCUGUGCGGGUUUUAUCUGGACAUUUGGAAACUGGAUGGAAAUAUGUACAAAAAUUACUGCAAUAAUGCUUUUCUUUGGUAUUCUAUUCUUGAUUUCAUCUGCAUUGAAUGGGGAAGGGAAGGUUCCUGGUCAUGCAGGUUGGGCGGACGAUGAUUUCUGGUCGAUGAAGGCCUUUUAUAUGUUCCUUGUGCAUUGUUAUUUGACUGGGGCAAUCAAAUAUUUGAUUGUCUUGUUCCUUCUACUGGAUUUCUUUCUGUAAUAAUUAAACCAUUAUGAUGGAGCAAAGUUUCUGCCUCCCAUGUGGAGGUUCCUUUCCAAGGUGAAGGGGAUGCUGAGACUGUGAUCAUGCUUGCAUCUUAAUGUGGUGAAGCUUGGGGACUUCUAUCGAAAUUUUCAUGGUACCUCUUGCAGUCA
Molecule: non-coding RNA, 1071 nt
Organism: Elaeis guineensis (African oil palm)
Lineage: Eukaryota; Viridiplantae; Streptophyta; Magnoliopsida; Arecales; Arecaceae
Source: RefSeq, a predicted model, not a curated record